Molecule: ribosomal RNA, 502 nt
Filed under: uncultured bacterium
Lineage: Bacteria
Description: partial 16S ribosomal RNA
Rfam family: Bacterial small subunit ribosomal RNA
Source: RNAcentral
AUUGAACGCUGGCGGCAUGCCUUACACAUGCAAGUCGAACGGCAGCACGGGAGCUUGCUCCUGGUGGCGAGUGGCGAACGGGUGAGUAAUACAUCGGAACGUACCCAGUAGUGGGGGAUAACGCACCGAAAGGUGCGCUAAUACCGCAUACGACCUACGGGUGAAAGCGGGGGACCGUAAGGCCUCGCGCUAUUGGAGCGGCCGAUGUCUGAUUAGCUAGUUGGUGAGGUAAAGGCUCACCAAGGCUUCGAUCAGUAGCUGGUCUGAGAGGACGAUCAGCCACACUGGGACUGAGACAAGGCCCAGACUCCUACGGGAGGCAGCAGUGGGGAAUUUCGGACAAUGGGCGAAAGCCUGAUCCAGCAAUGCCGCGUGUGCGAAGAAGGCCUUCGGGUUGUAAAGCACUUUUGUCAGGGAAGAAAUCUUUUAGGCUAAUACCCUGGAAGGAUGACGGUACCUGAAGAAUAAGCACCGGCUAACUACGUGCCAGCCGCCGCCGUAA